AUGGUAUCCCUCAGGUUGGCAGCUUUCUUUCGGGAAAGAAGUUGUACAACCUUAAGCAUGGUCAGAUAUACAAGGCCCCAGGGAUGCCAGAAAACGAGAAUCACAAAAAAAAAGGUGGUAUGGCAUGCUGUUAUUCUUAUCGGGGCAGGCAAAAGACGAAAGAAAUAUUUUUAUCAUUUUGUAAACUCACUAGGUGUUAAGUUUUGCCUGAGGAUACCUAUAAAUUCACCUCCAAGACCUAAAUCCACAUGGCUUGGAGGAGUCCAAUGUGGAAAGUCUAAACAAUUUCCUGGUGGAUUUGGGAAGGUUCGCGCCAGUGAUGUCAUGCUGGAUACAUUGCAAUUUGUUAGAUAUCCAGACUCCAACACACCGAAACAACCUUGGGUCUCAUUUAAUUACUGUGCUGUCCGUUGA
This 414-nucleotide ribosomal RNA is filed under the name Triticum aestivum (bread wheat). RNAcentral's name for it is "partial small subunit ribosomal RNA". Lineage: Eukaryota; Viridiplantae; Streptophyta; Magnoliopsida; Poales; Poaceae. The record is from RNAcentral.